AACGAACGCUGGCGGCAUGCCUAACACAUGCAAGUCGAACGAGACCUUCGGGUCUAGUGGCGCACGGGUGCGUAACGAGUGGGAACCUGCCCUUAGGUUCGGAAUAACUCCCUGAAAGGGGUGCUAAUACCGGAUAAUGUCUUCGGGCCAAAGAUUUAUCGCCUUUGGGUGGGCGCUCGUUGGAUUCGCGAGUUGGUAGGGUAAAAGCCUACCAUGGCGAGGAUCCAUAGCUGGUCUGAGAAGAUGAUUCACCGCGCUUGGGCUGAGACACGGCCCAGACUCCGACGGAGGGCAGCGGUGGGUAGUAUUGUACAAUGAACGAAGGCCUGGUCCAGCAAUGCCGCGUGUGUGAUGAAGGCCUUAGGGUUGUAAAGCUCUUUUACCCGAGAUGAGAAUGACAGUACCGGGAGAAUAAGCUCCGGCUAACUCCGUG
This 433-nucleotide ribosomal RNA is filed under the name uncultured bacterium. RNAcentral describes it as "partial 16S ribosomal RNA". It matches the Rfam family "Bacterial small subunit ribosomal RNA", at positions 29 to 507 of the family's 1533-position model. The record is from RNAcentral.